UUGGGCUACGGGAGGCAGCAGUGGGGAAUAUUGCACAAUGGGGGGAACCCUGAUGCAGCGACGCCGCGUGAGUGAAGAAGUAUUUCGGUAUGUAAAGCUCUAUCAGCAGGGAAGAAAAUGACGGUACCUGACUAAGAAGCCCCGGCUAACUCCGUGCCAGCAGCCGCGGUAAUACGGAGGAUGCGAGCGUUAUCCGGAUUUAUUGGGUUUAAAGGGUGCGUAGGCGGAUUUUUAAGUCAGCGGUAAACUGUCCGGGCUCAACCCGGGC
RNAcentral lists this ribosomal RNA (268 nucleotides) under uncultured bacterium. Its description in RNAcentral is "partial 16S ribosomal RNA". It matches the Rfam family "Bacterial small subunit ribosomal RNA", at positions 331 to 619 of the family's 1533-position model. The record is from RNAcentral.